CACGGGGUUGCGAGCGUUGUCCGGAAUUACUGGGCGUAAAGGGCGCGCAGGCGGUAUAUCAAGUCAGCUGUCAAAGACUGGGGCUCAACCCUGGUAUGCGGUUGAAACUGAUAUGCUGGAGUGCUGUAGAGGCAAGUGGAAUUCCCAAGUGUAGCGGUGAAAUGCGUAGAUAUUGGGAAGAACACCGGUGGCGAAGGCGACUUGCUGGGCAGCAACUGACGCUGAGGCGCGAAAGCCAGGGGAGCAAACGGGAUUAGA
This 258-nucleotide ribosomal RNA is filed under the name uncultured prokaryote. RNAcentral describes it as "partial 16S ribosomal RNA". It matches the Rfam family "Bacterial small subunit ribosomal RNA", at positions 524 to 782 of the family's 1533-position model. The record is from RNAcentral.